CGAAAUUGUGUUAACCAAACCCCCAUCUCCUUGGCCUGUUAAACCAGGCCCAACCUACACCAAAUUUCCAGCAUACUCCAGCGCGUUAUUAUCCAAAUUUAGGGGCACCACUAACAGCCCAGACAGAUUACCUGAAUCCUUCCUAGCAGGCCCACUAACCUCUAUUCUCUCGGCCCCAUCCAAAAAAUCUGCCCUCCAUAUUGUUUUGACCAAAGACACUAAAAUUGUUUUCAUUCCCCCCUAAUUUUUAGUCGUCGAAAAAUCCCCCUUUUAGAAACGGAUCCCCUGCAAAUCAGCUUCCAUCGUACUAUUCACGACCAUUUUCCUCCCAAGCAGAUUUGAAGCGUUUAUCACGGGUCCUUUCGUCUCUAAGCUUUGACGAAUUUGGGGAUUUCGCCGUGAUUUUCUUUCAACGAUCAUCCAAGGGCCAAAUGGUUCCGUCACCUCUCCCACCUUGUUUGCCUUCAGUAAGUCCUCCUUCGUCGAUCUAACACCCACAUCCAUCUCUUUUGAAGGCCCCUCACCGGGCAAAGUUCUUUUGAGUAACCAAAUCGGCCACAAGAAAAUAAACAGUUGGAAGCGAUUUGAAUUCCACCCUCUGUAACACCCCGUUAACCAUGAUUUGAGAGACCAGGGGUUGUCUCAAAUCGAUGCCUACCGCCAUCCUUGCAAAUUUCCCUUUCGACCCCUUGUCCAUCUGAAAGUCCAGCUUGAUAACCGUCCCUAUCAAACCCCUUAUUUUCUCCAAAAUCUGGCGUUUGUAGAGGAAACCCGGAAGACCAGACAACCUGACCCAUACCAUCGCAUUGCUAGGGAAAGCUUGUGGAGAGAAUCAAACUCCGAUGUCCACGGUUGAACCGUGAGGUACUGGCCAAGCACGAUCCAAGGCCCCUGGGUAAGUACUUUAUCAUAGUCAACACGACUCUGAAACUUAACCAGAAAAUACCCAUUUUCCAUAUCCAUGAGGUGGAACUGUUGGGACAAUAUCCGCAGGCUUUGAAUUCUAUUUUGCAGUAUAGAAUAAGAUAGAUUCCGACCUAGAAGCUUAACCACUACCGUAGUCGCCAUUUCUCUAAACAGAAUUUGUUGAACCCUUUCUGAAAAACUGAUAACAGGGAUACCAUUCACCGUAGAUCUCGUAACAUCUCCAUCCAAAAGCUCAAAGUCCUCCUCCUUACCAUAACCAGGGACUCCUCGACCCAAGACUUUAUCCCUCCAUGAGAUUUCUGGUGCUAAAUUUGUGUCAUAUAAUUUACUUUAAUAUAUAUAUUAGAUUUCUAAAUUAGUUUUAAUAGUAGUAUGUAUAAAUUAGUUCAAUGUUUUAUUAUUUCAAUUUAAUAUUAUAGUGUUUUCUUUUAUUUUUGUUCCAAAUUUCUAUAUUACUUUUAAUAGUACUAUAUAUUAAUUCAUGUUUUAUUAAUUUAAUUUAAUAUUAUAUUUUUUUAUUUUAGCUCCAAAUUUUUAUAGUAUAUUUGCUUGUAUUAUGUGUUAAUUCAAUUUUAAUUAGUUAUCUUUAGUUAAUAUUGAUUUUACAUUUGAUUUAAAUUAUUUCUGGAAACUACAAUUCAAAUAGUAAUAUUCAAUGAUGUUGUGACAAAAUUUAAAGAUAAUUUUCAGAAGAAAAAUACUUAUACAAUUACAAAUGGUGUAAUAAAAAGAUCUUAUGAUAAAUUUAUUAAUGUUUAUAAUAAAUAUAAAUUGUGAUUGAUUUUUUAUACUUAAAUAAGCCAGUUUUCUAAAUCACAAAAGUGUUUUGUUUUAUAUUUUGUUUUUUAAUAAAUCGAGAGAGAAUAUGAUUAAAAAAUAGGUAUAGUUCUAUUUUCGUUUGGUAUUAAUUAUUAUUUUACUUUAUAUAAUCUACAUUUUUUUUACUUCUCUUUUUGCAUGGAGAUUCUUGAGGAGUAAUUUUAAUAUAUUUUACAUUUUUUUUUUGCAUGGAGACUUUUGAGAAAAAAUUUAUUGUCUUUCGUAUUUUCUUCUCUCCCUGUAAUUGGUAUCAGAGGCCGGAGUAAUGAUACUUGGAGAAAUAAUAUUGUAGUAUUCAUUAUAAGUUUUAUCUUUUAUUUACAAUUUCGUUUCUUUCAUAGUUAUUUAUCUUAAAACUCGUAUAUUUGUUAUUCUGUCUUUCUAUUGUCUGUGUGAGACUGUAGGCCUUUGAAAGUAAAGACAUAAAAAGAUAAUGGAAGGUUUUAGGUACCAAAGAUAAAUUUCAUAGAAGAAAUAGAUUGUCUCUAUAAAGAAAAAAUUUGUAAUCAUGCUAUGCAUAUUGACUCUAAAAAUGAAAAUAUUUCAGCUCUGAAUAAAUGUUUUAAUAGUUUAAUAGAUAUUACUUCUAUAUAGUUUCAUAAAUUAUAUAACAUAGUAAGUAAAAUAGAACAUCAAGUCAAUAAUUUAAGAAAAGUUGCAGGAUUAGAUUUGAACAACAAAUCUAAACAAAUAUUAUCUAAUGUUAAUAAUAAAUUAGAACAAAUUCUUAUUAAUAAAAAUAUAGAACAAGAGGUAGAUUUAGUACCUUUAUAUUAUGAAAAUAAUAAUAUAAUAUUAACUGUCUGAGGAAGAAGAUACUUCUUUAGAAGAAUCAUCUUCUAUUAAUAAAAGAAAUAAAAAAAACUUGAAAAACAGAAAAGAAAAUAUAGUUAUCAACAAAAAUAUGAUUUCUAAUCUUUUAUAAAUAACUUAUAGACCAUUGAAAGUAUAAAUUUACUAAGAGUUCUGAUAAAAAUGAAAGAGUUGAAAAUUUAAAAUUAAUAGAACAAUUUUAUGAAAAACAUAAAGAUUUAUUUACUUUAUUUAACUAUCAUUGUAUGUUAAACUAUGACAUUACAGACAAUAGUAGUUCCAGUAAUUUUGAUAAUUCUAUAAACCUAGAAGACCUAAAAAUUACAAGUUAUAAAUCUGAUGAAGAAAAUGCUUCAACAGAUGAAGACGAAAAUAUAGAAAUACUAGAACCUAUAGAUACUAAUCAAACAGAUCCUUAUGGAAAAAGAAAAAUAGAAUUAGAUCUUCAAAAUGAUGGUUAUAUGAGAUCUUUUAGAAAAGAUUUUAGAAAAGUUUAAAAUACAAUUAGAAUUUUUGGUAAUAAAACAGAAAAUAUAGCUACAAAUGAAAUAAAAACUGAAAAUCUAGGAGAAUCAUCUACUCAACCAAUUCCAUAUAUAAUAGAUGAUUUAAAUAAAAGAAACGUUGCUCAAGGUGGAAUAUAUUUAGAUUUAACUAAUAUUCUUAUAGCAGACUAUGAAAAAACCAUAGAUGACUGGGCACAAUCUAUGACUAUUGUUGUAAACAACAACAAUAUGUGGUCAAAAGAAAAAAUUUUAAAGUAUUUUGUUGGAACAUAUCAAGGAGAUAUUCUACAAUUUCUAGGAUGAGAAGAAUCUGAUAAAAAUAACAAAAAUGACAGUUAAUCAACCAAAUAGGAACUUCCAAAGAUCUUUUAAAAUGAUUAACUUUUAUUCUAAAAACAAAAUUUUGUGGCUAUUUUGAUAAAAAAGAUCAAGAUAGUAUAUCUAGUUAUAUCUUGUCAAAAAUUAAAUUAUGUGAUAUUAGAUAAGAAUUUUCUAAAACAUUUCUUUAUGAAUAUCAAAAACUAAAAAAUGAAAAUAUAGAAUUUUGAAAAAAUCAAUAUUUUUAUAAAUUACCACCACUAUGGGAUGAGAUAUGUAUAAAAAAAUAUAUUUCUUAUUUAGAAAAACACAGUAAAAUGGUUGGUGUACCAUAGACUCUAUAGGAAAUAGAAUAAAUUUUGCAAAAGAAAGAAUAACUUUAUACUAUUUACAAGAUAAAACUUCUAAACAAGUUAAGCAUAAAUUAAGUACUAAAUAUUGUACAAAAAUUUUAGAAAAUGAAUGGGAAUUUGGAUGUAAAUCAAUACGUCCUAACACUUAUAAAAGAUAUAAAACACUUAUAAAAGGUAUAAACUAGUUAGAUGGAAAUCAGGAAAUAAAAAAUAUAUUGGUUAUAAUAAUAAGAAAAGAUUUGUUAGAAGAAAAACUUCUAAAAAACCUAAAAAACAAAUAUGUAAAUGUUUUAUAUGUGAUGAAGAAUGUCACAUAGUACCAAAUUGUCCUAAUAAAGGAAAAAAUGCAAAUAAAAUGAUUAAAACACUUGAAGAACAAGAUUUAGGCUUAGUUUGGAUGAGUGGUGUGUUUAGCUCCGGUGAGGUUAAAAAUAGCGGUGGCGGUGAGAUUAGUUACCGUAGCGGUGAGAUUGGAUACUGUAGCAAUGAGAUUAGAAACAACGAUGGAGUGUGUGUUUAGAUUCAAACGCAGCUGUAGCGGUGAGGUGAAAAUAGAAAAUGACUUUUAAAGACAUUAGAUUAAAAAUGAUAUAUAAUAGAAGUUUUUAAAAUUAUUUAACAAUUACAAAAUUAAUAAAUGAUUAAAAAUUAUUACAAUUAUAUUUAUUUUCAAUAAUAAAUAAUUAAAAAUGAAUUAAAACUAGAGAAAAAUUCAAAAAAUUAUUUUAUUUAAUAUUUCAAAAUUAAUCAUAUAUUUAAUUAUAGGUGCUCAAUUCAUUAUUGAAAGAUUAUUGAAAUUAUUGAGCCUUUAGAAAAAUAAAACAUUAUUGAAAAAUAAAAUAAUAAAGCAACUCUAGAAUAAGGGUCUAUUUGUUUGCCAGUAAAAUGUUUUCUGGAAAAUGAUUUACUGAAAAUAUUUUCUGGUAUUUGUAUGAAUCUGUAUAAAAUAUUUUUUGUUGUUUGGCAAAUUUCUUGAAAAUAUUUUCCGAAAAAGUUGUUUUUACAUAUAUUAAUAAAUUUUUAUAUUUUAAAUUUUUUUCAUAUAUUGCAAUGAUUUGUUUAUAAAUAAAUAUAUGGCAUCAGACUGUUAUACUGCUGAACUUUGGUACGAAAGCAUCUAAUAGAAGACUCUGAGGAAGUGCAGCUACUAGCUAAUAGUAACAUCUGCACAUUUCUAAGGGCAUUGCUUCACAUAUUUCUGAGAAAGCACCAAUUUAUGAAUUCUGACAAAUAGAUCUAUAAUGCCAAAUACAUGAAGAGAAAAAAAAACAUGUAUACAUAAGUUUGACAUAAGUACAAAACUAUUCAUUCUUCUUUCAAAUCUUUUUAAUGAAAUAUUUACAAUACCCUUUUUCUCAAUGUCUGUGCGUCUUAAUGCAUGUUAUUUCAAAAGUUUGUCAUCAGUAACUCAAUGCAAGACAUUGCUAGCACCAAAUAACUUUAAAACUAAAACCAACCGUUGGCUAGUAACUGACAUAGCCUAUGGCCACCAUGUAGAACGUGCAAUGUCGAGCCUUGAGCUGGCCAGCAAUGCUAAAGGGAAGAGUUGAAAAUCACAUCUGUUGGGGUUUUGACAACAGAGGAAGAAAACAGAAGCAAGUAACCCAGAUGAUGUAAAGAUUAACUUCAUUACUUGAAUAAGCAAUAUGCCAUAUACAUAAGUAGUCCGGAUUACAUGUGCUGGUUUUUUUAGCAGAAAACUAAGGAGAAAAAGAAAAACAAAUGCAAAGAAGUUUAAACAAGAAGA
RNAcentral lists this long non-coding RNA (5483 nucleotides) under Gossypium barbadense (sea-island cotton). Its description in RNAcentral is "long non-coding RNA (GBAR_LNC017224)". Lineage: Eukaryota; Viridiplantae; Streptophyta; Magnoliopsida; Malvales; Malvaceae. The record is from RNAcentral.